This 1929-nucleotide long non-coding RNA is filed under the name Homo sapiens (human). Its description in RNAcentral is "HSALNT0381591". Lineage: Eukaryota; Metazoa; Chordata; Mammalia; Primates; Hominidae. The record is from RNAcentral.
AGCAUGAACACAACCUUGCCUCGGAAAGCAUACGUGGGAAAAUAUGCCAGGGGGGUAGCUCCCCAAUUCUCCUGCCCAAAGAUGUUUGCCAUAGACUACGCUGACUGGCCCAUUCAGGAGCCCCUCGGGUUUCCGCUGGACCUACCCUUCUGAUUUGAGAUCAUCCACGUGUUUUCCCACCUCCGGAGGCUUUUAUUUUCUGCUUCCUCCCUUCUUAGUACAGUGCCAAUCACUGCUCUCCCCCGCCGCCCCCCUCCCCAAAGGCUCUCUGAGGCUGCUCCCUUUGUGAUUGGCAUCUCAUUAAUGAAGAAGGGCUGGUGUCUCUCAUUACAGUUAGAGUGAGUGAGAGGACCUCAGAACUAAUUUACUUGCUCUCACUAGGGAAGACACUUGCCUCCAUCAAGAACUUCACUUUCCUGCUGCCUGUGGCAAUAAAAGAACCCGUUUUGUUUUAACAUUAAUAAGGUGAGAGAAUAGAGAAUUUCCAAAAGAAAUUAAGAAAGGCAAGAGGGUAGGUGUUGGCCCAUGGAAGUUUCCCUAAAGCAGGUCUGAUGGCGGAGUUCAGUGAGAGGCCUUUGAUGCGGCAACAUCUGGACCACAUGAAAAAAAGCCUAGCAGGCAAAUGAGAGACUGGCCAAGCAGAGAGGCUGGGGUGGGAAGCGGGGGGUAUGGGUUCUAAUCCUAGGUCCUAAGUCCCUGAGUGACCUUGGGCGAGUCUUUGAUUUUUCUCUGGUCCUCAAUUUUACUAUCAGUAAAAUAAAGGAAUGGAAUAAAAUGGUCUUUUAGGGUUCUCUCAGCUCGAAAAUUUUAAUAUUCUGUAAAUGGGGCUCUGGACUAUUUAAAACUUUUUUCAUGUUUGGAGUGAGUUUUUUUUUUAUCUCUGGCAACAAAUUAGAAAUUCCUCCAGAAUUAAAGAGCAUGGAAUGGAAAUCAUUUGGCUUCUCCAGCUGAAAAGGUCAACUAGAUUCAGAAAUGUACUCCAAGGCUGCACUGUCUGCAUGGAAACCUAAUUAGAGAUGAUACUUCAUUGGCUAAAAGGGAUCAAACUUAUCUGAGCUUUCAUCUGGAUAUGUAUUUUUAAAAAAUUACUCUGAGUUACUAAUUCAUUUAUCUUUCUACUUACAGGAAAUUCCACUCAUUGAUAAAGCUCGGCUUCGACGCCCCUGCUCACAAUGAAAUACCUUCCUUGCCAACCACAUUGCUUUAUGAUCGUGCCCCUUUACCACAUUGUACUUGAAAUGCCUUGUCAUUUAAGAAACCAUAAAAACGACGUCUUUAAAAAUGGGUUCAUCAUUUAGCUGGAGAUGGCUUCUGUGCCUGGAACCAGAAGCCUGUCCUCUCGGUGGUAUGCCUCCACAAAAGGAAGCGAGCUACCACAAAGGACAGCAUCAUGUGUUGCCUUCAUUGCUAUUGAAUCGGGAAGUUGGUGCCCAGUUUCAACAUGGAUGACAAAGUAGUGGGAAUCUGAAAUGCCUACAGUAGAAGCUAUUUUUGAACGAGAAGGACUUUGGCUCAAAUCAACAGUUUGGUUUCUUACUGUUUACAUCUAUGAGUCAAAGUAGCUUGCUCCCAGGAUCCCCCACCAAACCGAAUGAAAAUAAAUUCAAUGUGUGCCCACUGAGCCUGGCCUGGGAGUUCUUGAGAUCAACUCAGAAUCAUGGUCUUUCUGUCACUCCCAAAACAAUCCUACCUAAUUCUACUUGUUCCUAAGUAUUGCCUUAGGAUACUGACAGUCUUUUCUCCUACUUACAGCUUUUGAAUGAAAUUAAAGCUAAUCCUCUCUGGCUUGGUCGGGUCUUGUGUAAGAUUCCCACACCCCACAAUCAAGGCCUUGCAAUGUGGUGUUAGAAGAGAUAGCCAAGUUACCACACCUGUAUCACGAUUCGGAUAAGGAUAGUAUUUUUUGCCUUCCAUGAGACAGCUUUGAAA